Molecule: small nucleolar RNA, 127 nt
Filed under: Echinops telfairi (small Madagascar hedgehog)
Lineage: Eukaryota; Metazoa; Chordata; Mammalia; Afrosoricida; Tenrecidae
Description: Small nucleolar RNA SNORA69 (ENSETEG00000024002.1)
Source: RNAcentral
AAAGGGCGUGAAAACGACAAUGUUCUGGUUGUGGAAGUACUGCCAUUAUCCUACUGAGAGAAAAGAUCAUGUUGGCCAUCUUUGGUUGUCUCUGUUGGGGUAAAAUGAUUCGUCAUCAGGCACACUU